CCGGCGCACGGGUGAGUAACGCGUAUGCAACUUACCUAUCAGGAGGGGAUAACCCGGCGAAAGUCGGACUAAUACCGCAUAAAGCAGGGAUCCCGCAUGGGAAUAUUUGCUAAAGAUUCAUCGCUGAUAGAUAGGCAUGCGUUCCAUUAGGCAGUUGGCGGGGUAACGGCCCACCAAACCGACGAUGGAUAGGGGUUCUGAGAGGAAGGUCCCCCACAUCGGUACUGAGACACGGACCAA
This 240-nucleotide ribosomal RNA is filed under the name uncultured bacterium. Its description in RNAcentral is "partial 16S ribosomal RNA". It matches the Rfam family "Bacterial small subunit ribosomal RNA", at positions 95 to 334 of the family's 1533-position model. The record is from RNAcentral.